Molecule: ribosomal RNA, 253 nt
Filed under: uncultured bacterium
Lineage: Bacteria
Description: partial 16S ribosomal RNA
Rfam family: Bacterial small subunit ribosomal RNA
Source: RNAcentral
UACGUAGGGAGCAAGCGUUGUUCGGAUUUACUGGGCGUAAAGGGUGCGUAGGCGGCUUGUCAAGUCAGUUGUGAAAUCUCCGAGCUUAACUCGGAACGGUCAACUGAUACUGUCAUGCUAGAGUGCAGAAGGGGCAAUCGGAAUUCUUGGUGUAGCGGUGAAAUGCGUAGAUAUCAAGAGGAACACCUGAGGUGAAGACGGGUUGCUGGGCUGACACUGACGCUGAAGCACGAAAGCUAGGGUAGCAAACGGG